AGGGAGAAGAUAGUGGCGCCAUAACUUUUUUCCAACCAUCAGUUAUAUUUGUUUGGUGACAUAAUCAUAUUAACAAAAUUAUUAAACAUUUCCAAUUGUAAGUAUCUGAAACAAUCAACGGAACACCAUUUGCUUGAUGAGGAGCGGACGUCAUGGAGGCCCAGCAGAAAACCUUGACGAAUAAUGUUAAGACACCUACAGGGAACAAAUAUUCAGAAGCCACCGUUGCCCAAAUUCAUUGCGGCAAAGGUGGUGUUUAGUUGCCAAAAUUUUUUUUUAGCAAAAACAUCACAUUGAAUGUUUGACCGAACGUCGGAGGGGGUUUUCGGACACGAAUGAAAAAACAAAUUUCAGAUUUCGGCUGAAAACCGCGAUACGAAUUUUGUGAGCCUAACUAAUCCAUCAUUAGCAAAUGGUUACUGUAGCACUUAUGGCUAAUCAUGUUCUAAUUAGGCUUAAAAGAUUCGUCUCAAGAUUUCUUCCAGAACUGUGCAAUUAGUUUUUUGAUUCAUCUAUGUUUAAUGCUUCAUUUAAAUGUCCAAAAAUUCGAUAUGAUGUUUUUGGAAAAAAAAAUUUUGGUAACUAAGCAAGGCCAAAAUGUGUGCAAUGCGAACCUUCAACGGCUCGUUCAACAACCAGUUGUUAUUUCUGACUUUUUGGUGGUGUCUUGGCAACUUUAACUGUUCUGGAAAUCUAAAUAAGAAACACAUGAAAGAAAGAUGGUAGAGUUGAAACCCCCUCCCCCCUCCUAAAAGUUAACUGUAGACCAGAAAGGUAAACUAUUACAGCUUAACUGCUAGUUGUAUGUUGGUGUUUAUUUUGUAAGAUUGAGUACAGUACUUUUUUUUAAAAAAAAAGGUGUGGAAUGAAGACAGAAAAUUUACGGUUGUACCUAGUUUCAUGUGGCAAAUUUCCAAUAUUGCGCCUAUUACUUCUUAAAGAUAUUUGACAUGCCUGAUACACAAUGCUGCAUCUUUAUGAAUCAUCUUUAAACAUUAUCAAAACCAUGUGGCUAGUUGAGAAGUUGGGAGAUGAAGCCACAUCUUCAUCCAAACAUGCUCGCCCAUUUGGUCGAUCAGAUAUGAAUUAUUAUCUGUUCUGAAAAAUUGUCCCGGUUCUCAAUGGCCGCAAGAAUAGUGUUGUGAAUUCUUUGAAAUGAAAUUACUACAUACUUUUGUAGUUCUUCAAUGACAUCCUUUGCUUUUAAACAUCACAUCAAAUCUUUCCCAAACCCUUGUUUAGUUAAAAAAAAUUUUCCAAAAACAUCACGUCAAAUCUUUGGACACCUAAAUAAAACAUUAAACAUACAUAAACCAAAAAAACUAAUUGCACAGUUAUGGAAGAAAUCUUGAGACGAAUCUUUUGAGCCUAAUUAGAAAGUGAUUAGCCAUAAGUGCUACAGUAACCAACAGUGCUAAUGACAGAUUGAUUAGGCUCAAAAAAAUUUGUCUCGCGGUUUCCAGCCAGAAUCUGAAUUUGUUUUGUAAUUAAACUACGUUUAAUACUUCAAAUAUGUAUCUGAAAACUUGAUGUGAUAUUUUUGCAAAAAUUUUUUGCAAACUAAACACCACCUUUUGUUUCAUAUUAACACCCAUUCAACAACCAUAUUGAAUGCUUGCUGUUUGGAUUUAUGCUCUGAAUUCUGAUAUGUCGCCGUCCAUUUCCAACUCUACCUUUAACUCUGCUCCUUGGCAAUGAAGAAACUGGGAAGAGAGUAACGGCCCCAACUUUUUGUUGGGAAGAAAACAAAAUUUCGUUAUCAUGCUCACAAAUUAAGCAGUUCUUAAUGGAGAAUUUAUAUGUCACAGGUAUGACACGAUUGUUGGGCAACACAGAUACUUUGCACUGGCAUGGUAACUGAAACAAACCAUAGCAAAUAGCCAAAACUUACUAAUUACUAAACACACUUGAUCCAUCUUUUCGCUUUUACUUACGCUUAUAAACAAAGUUUUAAAUUUUUCAUCCUUAAAUUUAGAGUUGAUUUUUGGAUUUUGUUUUUCAUCGUGUUCCAACCUGUGUUUUUAGAUCACUAAGAAAACAUAUAUCAAAGUUUUAUUUAUAAAUUAUUAUUUUUUACAAAUAUGAAACUGCAAAACAAAAGGCUGCAUAGGUAAAUGACUUAAAUUGUCUUUAGCAAUGAUUAAAUUUUGAAAAUAUGCUGGAGCUACACCACGGUAAUGUUUCCCAUCGAUUCCGGUUUGCUUGUCCCUUUUUUAUGUUAUUUUUUUCCUUACGAGGAUGAACUUAUUUGGCGUUAUAUUGGAGUCGUAAUAAUAGUACCUUUCGACCCCUCCAUCCUUACGCAUAUCUACUGUUCCCUCCGAUUUUUUUUUAACACCAUUAGUUUUAUCUACACAACCAUUCAUCUUAUUUAAUUUUUCUGUGAAUAUACAGAAUUAUGAAUUAUGAUUAAAGUUACUUUAAUAAUAAAUCAAAUUAUAAAAAAAUAAUUAAUAAUUAACAAAAUAAUUAAUAAUUAUAUAAUUUUUAAAUAGGAUGAAUGGUUAAACAUAGAUAAAAAGUUAACCACGUUCAUUAGAAAAGGCGGAGGGAGUAUUACUCACCUAUAUGCAGAUGAAAGUAAACCACAGAGCUAGCCCUUGUUAAUCCAUCUAACUUUGCUACUCAUUUAUCCACAUUAAUGAGAGAAUUUCUAAAUCUUCAGUCGCCCUCUAGCAGCUUUAAGUAAAGCUACACGAGGAUCUAUUUUCUUUUAGUACUGAACCGCCCAUACGUUGCCUUCUCAACAGAAAUUUCUCGUAGCCAACUGCUUUGCCCUUUCUCAUAGUAUGUUUGUCAUGUGAAACAUGUAUUCUUGAAUGCCACGAGAAAGUUGAAAGGCACCUGCCUUCUAGUCUAUAAGAAAUCGCAGCAUGUACACCACCGCAGAAAGGAAGAGUAGUGGUUAUGCAUUCCCCAAUAGAAAUCUACAAAUUUCUAUAAUGGAGUGGUGUAUAUAAAGCCAGUCAACGCCUUAGCAUAACUUUAGCAUGAUUGUACUGUAGGAGAAUGAAAGCAACUGUAGAGAAAUGGUGAUGGAAAAACUGCACUGGUAUCAGUGGUCCUAAGUACAAGCCUACAGUGACAGAAAAUAAAGAUCCAUGGUAACUAUUUUAGCAGAUUAGAUCAUUAGACCAGUUAACAUUGUGAUCCAUGGUAUCAGCGGUCCUUGAGAUGUUGCACACAAGAGGCAACAAGGAUGAUCAUCGAUACAAUCUUCAUAGGAGAAACAACGUCAAACAGAUCGAUGUUUCAUACAUACUAUGCAGCGGCGUCCCGUGAAAUAUGAGACCCAGUUCAGAGCAUUAAGUAGAGGCCUAAUACCGAGUAAAAAAAACUAAUGACGCUUAUGUAAUGGUUGUAUUGAAAAAACACUCACGUCGCUUCAAGAAAUUUAGAAUUUAGACCGGACAUUUAUUUUCUUGUGGAAUAAAAAUCUUGAAAAACUAAACCGUUGAUAUAUACUUGUUAUACAAGACAACUUAGACCGAUUUCUAAUUAAAAAACUCAAAACUAUUACAUAUAAUUAGUGUACUUUAUAAAUCUUAGGGCCCAUAAUUUUUAGAUGCCUUGUGCGGUCGCCCACCUCGCACGGCCCCCGGACGCCCCUUUACUAUGCUAACUUCAUUACUUCAAGAAACAUCAUUUAAGGAACAUUUGUUAAUGAUAAGCCAACUUUUUUUUACUUACAGUUGCGGUUUUAUUAUACACAAAAUUUUCACACCUUCAUCUUUUCAUUUAUGCUUAUACAUAUAAACCAAAAAAUAAAGUUUUAAGUUGAUUUUGUCUUUUCACGGUAAUUAAUUUUUUAUAUUUGGCUUUUAGAUCGCUAACACUAUAUGCCCAUAUACAUAUACAUAUAUGUAUGUGUUUUUUAUUUAUAAAUUAUUUUUUUUCACGAAUACAUCGUUUUGAAAACCUGGACACCUCAAUAAUCCAAAACAAGCACGCAACUGGAAAAUUCUUGUCUAUCCUCACAAGGAUGUGGAAGGCAAAAGGAAGGAGGAAAAGACUUUGGCAUUUUGGCGCAAGCAAAUUCUCACAUCAUAAAGCUAAGCAAGUAGGCCGGUGUAACUAACAGGAAAAUAAGGGGCAGGUGCCCUGACUUAACCAGGUCAGGUUGACAAAUCAGAGGGCAUAUGAAAAUUUAUGGAUAUAUUUUUAUAGAUGUGUUUUUAGUGAUAUAAAAUUAAAUAUAAAAAAUAAACUAUGGUUAAAAAACCUUAAAAUUUACUCCAGAUAUAAAGAUAAAAAUUAAAAUUAUAGCUUAUAAAUAUAAGCAAAAAGCGAAAAGAUGACGCUGAGAAUCACCAACAAAAGCGCGCAAAAGCUUCGCACGUUAUUUCAUUAACAGAUGAGAACCACGUAUUCAAAUACGCAUUGUAAGGACUAACACUACAAAGGGAGAAUGGUAAUACUUGAUGCGAAGAAUGAAGAAUGACUGCUACACCAGGCGACAAGUACUUGCAAACCAAACGGGCGAUCGAAUAAACCUUUGCCGUAUUAGUAAAGCUAGUAAAAGACCAUCCGGUGAAGUUACUAGAGUAUCAUUUGAGCAGGGGCUAGAGUCCGUAGAGAAUUCGAGAUCUGGAAAACGCGGCUCGAACUUUGCCGUGUUACUUACCACCAAGAGAGGGGGGAACGAGGAGGGGUUUUAGUUACCUCGCUGGAGGCCGGAACGCGGCCUAAGGUGUAGAUUGGCCGGCGUGUUGGCGUCAUGGCGGAGGCCGCCGGGGGAACGGGGAGAGCGGGGUUGCCCGCGUGCCGCCCUAGUUGCGUCCGCAACGCAGGCCGCUGCCGGCCUGCCACGCCUGGAUGUUGGUAUCUUAGGG
RNAcentral lists this long non-coding RNA (4832 nucleotides) under Oryza brachyantha (malo sina). RNAcentral describes it as "long non-coding RNA (OBRA_LNC000278)". Lineage: Eukaryota; Viridiplantae; Streptophyta; Magnoliopsida; Poales; Poaceae. The record is from RNAcentral.